Molecule: long non-coding RNA, 930 nt
Organism: Oreochromis niloticus (Nile tilapia)
Lineage: Eukaryota; Metazoa; Chordata; Actinopteri; Cichliformes; Cichlidae
Exons: 2
Source: RefSeq, a predicted model, not a curated record
GUGUUUCUCUCCUAGUUUAGUAAUUACUCUCCUCUUCUCCUCAUUUUUUUUUUCAUGUGCCCAAAGUUGGAGCUAACGGGAAAACUUCUCUCUGCCUUCCUGAAUGCUCCCAAUGUAUACAGUUUCCUGUGCAAGAGCCCGGGCUCGAAAACAAAAACAGACGGGUUCUGAAGGAAGAGGGAAGUGGGAGGUGACUGAAGUGAGGGCCUGAAGGGCACAGAUGGGAAAUGGGGGGAAAUGGGGAGGGGUGGCGUGACGAGAUGGACAACACAUGGUUCUUGUUACUAACUGCUACAUAUGUAAUCUUUGUCUUUUUCAGCCGGACUUCAGUUUCUAUUCAAACAAAUAAUGAAUUAAUGGCUAAAAUACACUGAGUCAUGUUAGUUAUAGAACGUAAAUAAUUUCUAUGUAAUAUUUUCCAUGUAAUACAAACACAAUUGCAGGGGGUCAUUAUGCCCAACUCCAUAAAUAGUGAGUCUAUACAUUCACCUGCCACAAUAUAAGGUACACCUUAUAUGUACUGGGUUGGGCCCUACUUUUGCCUUUAGAACUGCCUUAAUUUUUCAUGGAAACAUUCCUCAGGAGACAGCAUCACACAGUUAUUGCUGAUUUCUCAACAUCCAUGAGGUGAAUCUCCUGCCUCUCUCCAGACAUCAGAAGAUGAGUACACUGGAGCCAUAAAGGUAUGGGCAUGGUCAGCAUAAUACUCAGACUAUUCUCUGUAACCCACAGAGGUGAUCGUGUGGGACAAAAUACCAGCUCAGCGAUUUGUUCAACAACCAUUCUAUGUUCAAAAUGACUGAAAUCAGCUGCUACCCCAUUCUGAUGGUCGGUGUGAACUACAGCAAAUCAUCUUGACCAUGACUACAUGCCUUAAUGCGUUGAGUCGCUGUGAUAUGAUUAUACCUAAUAAAAUGGCCAGUGAGUGUA